GUACAACGCUGGCGGCGUGCCUAAUACAUGCAAGUCGAGCGAACGGACGAGAAGCUUGCUUCUCUGAUGUUAGCGGCGGACGGGUGAGUAACACGUGGAUAACCUACCUAUAAGACUGGGAUAACUUCGGGAAACCGGAGCUAAUACCGGAUAAUAUUUUGAACCGCAUGGUUCAAAAGUGAAAGACGGUCUUGCUGUCACUUAUAGAUGGAUCCGCGCUGCAUUAGCUAGUUGGUAAGGUAACGGCUUACCAAGGCAACGAUGCAUAGCCGACCUGAGAGGGUGAUCGGCCACACUGGAACUGAGACACGGUCCAGACUCCUACGGGAGGCAGCAGUAGGGAAUCUUCCGCAAUGGGCGAAAGCCUGACGGAGCAACGCCGCGUGAGUGAUGAAGGCCUUCGGAUCGUAAAACUCUGUUAUUAGGGAAGAACAUAUGUGUAAGUAACUGUGCACAUCUUGACGGUACCUAAUCAGAAAGCCACGGCUAACUACGUGCCAGCAGCCGCGGUAAUACGUAGGUGGCAAGCGUUAUCCGGAAUUAUUGGGCGUAAAGCGCGCGUAGGCGGUUUUUUAAGUCUGAUGUGAAAGCCCACGGCUCAACCGUGGAGGGUCAUUGGAAACUGGAAAACUUGAGUGCAGAAGAGGAAAGUGGAAUUCCAUGUGUAGCGGUGAAAUGCGCAGAGAUAUGGAGGAACACCAGUGGCGAAGGCGACUUUCUGGUCUGUAACUGACGCUGAUGUGCGAAAGCGUGGGGAUCAAACAGGAUUAGAUACCCUGGUAGUCCACGCCGUAAACGAUGAGUGCUAAGUGUUAGGGGGUUUCCGCCCCUUAGUGCUGCAGCUAACGCAUUAAGCACUCCGCCUGGGGAGUACGACCGCAAGGUUGAAACUCAAAGGAAUUGACGGGGACCCGCACAAGCGGUGGAGCAUGUGGUUUAAUUCGAAGCAACGCGAAGAACCUUACCAAAUCUUGACAUCCUUUGACAACUCUAGAGAUAGAGCCUUCCCCUUCGGGGGACAAAGUGACAGGUGGUGCAUGGUUGUCGUCAGCUCGUGUCGUGAGAUGUUGGGUUAAGUCCCGCAACGAGCGCAACCCUUAAGCUUAGUUGCCAUCAUUAAGUUGGGCACUCUAAGUUGACUGCCGGUGACAAACCGGAGGAAGGUGGGGAUGACGUCAAAUCAUCAUGCCCCUUAUGAUUUGGGCUACACACGUGCUACAAUGGACAAUACAAAGGGCAGCGAAACCGCGAGGUCAAGCAAAUCCCAUAAAGUUGUUCUCAGUUCGGAUUGUAGUCUGCAACUCGACUACAUGAAGCUGGAAUCGCUAGUAAUCGUAGAUCAGCAUGCUACGGUGAAUACGUUCCCGGGUCU
This 1372-nucleotide ribosomal RNA is filed under the name uncultured bacterium. Its description in RNAcentral is "bacterial SSU rRNA". It matches the Rfam family "Bacterial small subunit ribosomal RNA", at positions 28 to 1381 of the family's 1533-position model. The record is from RNAcentral.